CGAAGUUAAGCAUCAUUGGGCGCUGUCAGUACUUGGGUGGGUGACCACCUGGGAACACCGCGUGCCGUU
Molecule: ribosomal RNA, 69 nt
Filed under: Caerostris darwini
Lineage: Eukaryota; Metazoa; Arthropoda; Arachnida; Araneae; Araneidae
Source: RNAcentral